Molecule: ribosomal RNA, 278 nt
Filed under: uncultured bacterium
Lineage: Bacteria
Description: partial 16S ribosomal RNA
Rfam family: Bacterial small subunit ribosomal RNA
Source: RNAcentral
AACGAACGCUGGCGGCAUGCCUAACACAUGCAAGUCGAACGAGACCUUCGGGUCUAGUGGCGCACGGGUGCGUAACACGUGGGAACCUGCCCUUAGGUUCGGAAUAACUCACCGAAAGGUGUGCUAAUACCGGAUAAUGUCUUCGGACCAAAGAUUUAUCGCCUUUGGAUGGGCCCGCGUAGGAUUAGCUAGUUGGUGAGGUAAUGGCUCACCAAGGCGACGAUCCUUAGCUGGUCUUAGAGGAUGAUCAGCCACACUGGGACUGAGACACGGCCCAG